RNAcentral lists this long non-coding RNA (655 nucleotides) under Pan troglodytes (chimpanzee). Its description in RNAcentral is "long non-coding RNA NONPTRT001653". The record is from RNAcentral. Lineage: Eukaryota; Metazoa; Chordata; Mammalia; Primates; Hominidae.
GCCCAGUUCGAGCUUCCCUGGCUGCUUUGUUUACCUGUUCAAGCCUCAGAAAUGGCAGACUCCCCUCCCCCUGCCAGGCUGCUGCCUUGCAGGUUGAUCUCAGACUGCAAAGCUAGCAGUGAGCAAGGCUCUGUGGGUGUGGGACCCGCCAAGCCAGGCAUGGGAUAUAAUCUUCUGGUGUGCUGUUGGCUAAGACCAUUGGAAAAGCACAGUAUUUAGGCAGGAGUGUUCCAUUUUUCCAGGUACAGUCUAUCACAGCUUCCCUUGGCUAGGAAAGGGAAAUCCCCUGACCCCUUGUGCUUCCCAGGUGACAUGAUGCCCUACCCUGGUUCAGCUCACACUCCAUGGGCUGCACCCACUGUCCAACCAGUACCAAUGAGAUGAACCAGGUACCUCAGUUGGAAAUGCAGAAAUCAUGCAUCUUCUAGGUCAAUCACACUGGGAGCUGCAGGCCAGAGCUGUAGCCUCAUAAAAAGACUUGGGAAUUUUCCCCUUUUUCUAAGAACCAAUGACUUAACAUGUAAAUUAUCUAUAUUUGUUUAUUCUUCUUCAGAAUCACCCUACCGUCUUUAUGUCUUACCUCCAUUUUCUCCCAUCUUUGAAAGUUAAUUACUUUUCACAUUAAUUGCCUUCUCAUUUUCUCUUGCAUUCUGAA